Molecule: transfer RNA, 84 nt
Filed under: Myxococcales bacterium
Lineage: Bacteria; Pseudomonadati; Myxococcota; Myxococcia; Myxococcales
Description: tRNA-Leu
Rfam family: tRNA
About the family: Transfer RNA (tRNA) molecules are approximately 80 nucleotides in length. Their secondary structure includes four short double-helical elements and three loops (D, anti-codon, and T loops).
Source: RNAcentral
GCGCGGGUGGCGGAAUUGGUAGACGCGCAAGGUUGAGGGCCUUGUGGCCGCAAGGCUGUGAGGGUUCGAUUCCCUCCUCGCGCA